GCACAAAAGGGACUAAAACCCAGGCGAAGGUGAAAGGGAACGUUUCAGCUGCCCCGAGCAUCCCGGGAACAGUGGAGCCAGUAGCUGCUGAGGGGCAGCCAGAGCCUGUGGCCACCGUCCUCCCUCGUCCCCUGGCUGGGGACAGCAGCAGCAUGUUUGGAUGGUUUGUCCAGGGGCUGGAGAAGGUGAUGCCACAGCCUGUGAGCAGGGAGAAGCAGGACACGCAGGUACGCAGCCUGCAGAGAGGCAAUGGGGGCGUGGAGGUGAUGUGCAAGGCAGGGGAGGGUCCUGGUGGUGCAGGGGCUGCGGGGACGGGCAGAUGUGCAGGGACCUGCUGGCUGUGCCCACGCUGCAGUUUGGGGUGGGCUCAUGAGCAUGUUUUGCUGCACCAGGCUUGUGCCCUGCCACACAGCUCCGUGGAGAAGAGAAACCCCCACAGCUGCUGAAAAACAGGCUUUGCCCUCUGAGGAGCCAGAAAGCUCCUGGGGUGGGUUUCCUUUAUCCUUUCCUUUGCUCCCUGAGCACCACCCAGCCCAAGCUCCCCGCUGCCACGGGGUGCCAGGCUCCCCAGCUUGCUGGAGCUGGAGGCUGAGCCUCAGAGCCAUGGUGAGGAACAACAGCACCUGUGCCACUGUCCUCUCUGUCUCCGGCACCAAAACGACCUCCAAGGCCUUGCCCUUCCCUCCACAGCUGUGCGGGCAGCCUGGUGCCCCUGGUCCAACCCUGUGGCACAGCACUACCGUGCCUGAGGCCCGCAGAACCCGGCUGUCCCACAGACACUGCAUGGGGCACUGAGGGUAAAAGGGCCACGGUGACCCAGAGCCAGCAACAAUUCUGCUCUCACACCAAAAGCUCCGUGAAGUUUCCUGCAGGGUCAGAUAACCAGAACAGGGAUGCCUGUUUCAUCCCAAAUGCUCCUGCUGAGCGUGGUGCUGGGGAUCCAGUGCUGCUGUGGGUUGGAGGCAAGAGCGGGGGCUGCGGCCAGGGGGAGUCCAGGGGCAGGGGCAGGAGCCCUGCCAGCCAUGCCUCACAUUUCACUUUUCUUCCUGGCAGGGAGCAGCAGCGGCAGCCUUCAGCCCCGUGGAAGAAAGGGGCAAAGGGGCUUAGCGCCUCUGAAACAAACGGAAAACGAAGUCUGUGGAGGGCCAGCCUUUCCCCACCAAAUGAGACCACCUCGCAGAGAAAGCACAGCGGGGGAGGAGAAAAAGCAAAGAGCAAUCUGCAAACGGUCCCUAGCCCCUUGCCAGCCAGGCUGCGGGGUGCGGGAACCCGAGGCCGUGUGUCCCCGCUCCCUGCAGCUGCCGGCAGCAGGACCUGGCCCUGGCCAGCCCUGAGCACCAGGGGAAGGUCAGCAUAGCUGCUGGAUGGGAGCAAUAAUUCAUGUGAGGACAGACAAACGCCUCUCAGGGCAUCUCCGAGGCAGAAAACCUCUCGCUGCAGCCUCCCACAGCACACCCAGCUCCCUCAACUCCCCUCCCACCCCCCAGCACGCCAAUAUUUACCACCGAGAUCUCUGGCUGAAGCCUGCAGACUUCUUUAAAUCUAUUUCUGUCUCAGUGGCAUCACUUUAUAAAGCCCUUUAAGCUUCAUAUUGCUUUUCUCCCAUUAACUGAGUGUUUUCUCCCAGAGGGUGGAGAGGGCUCUGUUUGGCAGCAGCGGAUGCAGGAGAACAACCUCCAGGAACCAGGCAGGAGCCAAAGGCCUCCUGGUGUGGAGGAGGGUGUCAGCUCACCAUGAGCAGCCCCUGCUUGCCCCCAGAGCCCAUCCAGUGCCGCACCAAGCACGGCAGCAGUGUCCCAGCAGGGAACGGUGCCCAAGGGCUGCCUCCAGCUCUGGGCUGGGGGCUUGGGGAAUGCGGGCACGCCGGGCUGGGGAGGGCAGGAGCCCCUAAAUGCCAGGUGUUUGGCACAGACCUUCCCAUUGCAUCCCUAGGUAGCCUUAGUGGUGAGUGGUGAGCCAAGCAACCCCGCUGAGCCCCAGCCCCUGUGUUUAUGACGAGCCCAGCUGGUAUCAGGAUAGGAUCUUAGUAUUUGCCCUGUUUUCAUAUCGUGUAUUAAAAAGUUGCAGCACGUUUCAAAAGCUGUCUCCGUGGUUCCUGUCCUUUGUUACAAUAACUAUAGCUGCAGGGAGAGCAGGCUAAAGGCAGACGAACACUGCUGGGUGAGGAGCUGGUUUGGGAGGCAUGGUGCAGAGCAGACAAUGCAGUGGGCCUCCUGCCUUUCUGUAUUUAAGUCUGUCCAUUUCCUAUUAGCUUCCCUGGGGACGUGUAAGCUCCCCUGAGUUUUGCCAUCAGUCAGACCUCACAUUAAACUGGUUUGGAACUACGUGGAUGCA
Molecule: long non-coding RNA, 2334 nt
Filed under: Anas platyrhynchos platyrhynchos (common mallard)
Lineage: Eukaryota; Metazoa; Chordata; Aves; Anseriformes; Anatidae
Description: lncRNA (ENSAPLG00000024056.1)
Source: RNAcentral